This 1837-nucleotide long non-coding RNA is filed under the name Chlamydomonas reinhardtii. Its description in RNAcentral is "long non-coding RNA (CREI_LNC001133)". Lineage: Eukaryota; Viridiplantae; Chlorophyta; Chlorophyceae; Chlamydomonadales; Chlamydomonadaceae. The record is from RNAcentral.
CAUGGUGUGUAUGCCGACAAAAGGCGCGGUCCGGACAGCGACUCAAGCUGACGCGUGAAUGUGUGCGCUCGGAUUGCCCGCCCGUUCUGAAAUUGGCGUGUUCAUUCAUUGCAGGACACGGGCGAUACAUUUGACAGCAUUGCUGCUGGCCUGCCCAUGCUUGACUUUGGCGGUGAGGCGGCUGCUGCGAAAGCAAGAUGCGCUAGCCGAGUCCCACGUGCGCGUGGUCGUUACCCUAUGGCACCCAAACGAUCGUUACGAUCGCUGUUACCUAGGUCGUAGAUCGUUACCCCUCCGGCAUCGUUACGAUCUCGCUACGAUCUGCUUACCAUCUUAACCAGCCAUGGUAACAGCCUCGUCACGGUCUACAAGGCACACCAGUAACCAUCACUUUGAGGCCCGUUACAUGGCAGCCUUGUGCUUUGCUGAAGGCCUACAUCAGUACUAAAGUAAGAACUAUGUAGUCCUACCGCUACUCCACAUGCUAGCCAUCUGUCAAGGCUUGAUAGCACGACAAGUGCAGAUGCUCAUGCAACACUUAUGCAACACUACCGCAAGUCCAUACGUACAUGCAACAAUACGCCAAGUCCCUAUCGUCUGCGUGUGAACGUGCAACUAGCCACUGGCAGCAACCACUUGCAUGUCUGCUGGGCACAACAUCUCCGACCCACCACCUUGACGCCCGCCGCCACCACAGCUACCAUGCCAACUAUGCCACUGGCGCCGCCGCGCCUGCCUCCAUCUUUAGCACCAGACAGCUGGUGUCAAGCUGGCUCCUGUAGUUUUGCUUCCACCGGCAGCGCCUGCAUGCACGCGUGCACACACAUAGACACACCCAGUUAAUUGUCUGCCACAAGGUGGGCAGGUGCCAAUGCAUGUCAAGGCCAGCCAUGGACAGAGUGCUUGGCAGUGCACGGGGCCUACCACACAAGGCGCGUCUGUGUGCACAUGUGCAUGUGUGUGCGCCUACACGUGUCACGGACACUCACCGUUGAUGAGCACAAUGCUGGAGGUGUAGGGGCAGUCCAGCCAACCGUACGGUCCAGAGGGGACAGAGGGGUUGGGCAGCAAGCUGUGGCGGGGCAGGGUGUGUGCGUGUGGAGGGGAGGGGUGGUAUGUGAGACACAAGGCACCGUGGCAAGGGAGCCAUAAAAACACCUUACAGCGAGCGCUAGUAAGGGAGGCAGCAGACAGUCACUAGUUGAAGGCGCAACCCAACACAGCGCGAGAAGUUGAACCAUGCACACUGGCUUGCUAGGUACCACUAGGUUCAACGCAUCCCAUCGUCAUUCAACCUGCGGACUAACCUGCGGACUAUGGCGUGCGGGGCGAGGGUGAUGUUGACAGAACGCGAUGUUGAAUGGCGUUGUUGACGCCGGCGACCGAGACUUCUCGGUCGGACAUUUGAAGCGCAGCUGAUAGAUCAUGAGGCAUAGUCGUUUCUCUCACGUAAUAGCUGGCUGCAGCUGACGUGUGAGCAGCGUCGCCAAGCCGGUCAACGAGCGGUCAGCAGCGUGAGGGCUCGCGUCCCAAGCCAGCCAAGCAGCGUCUGCCGCCAGCUCUUGUUCUACUGACAUUUGAGCUACCAUAAAUUUGUGUUUACGAAGAGAAGUAGCGAGGGCGAGAGAGCAAACGGGGGGAGAGGAACAGAAGUGCAGCGGCACCGGCAUGAAGUGCAGUGUAUCAGUAUAUGUAUGGUACUAUAUCAGUAUAUGUAUAGUAGUAUCAGGGGCCGCUCUAUGCAGCUUAUUAAGUCAGGCCCGCGAGAACCCCAUGCAGGAACCCUGUUACCCGUCGCAAAGGCCCCGUUACCCCUUGCUUAGGGUCGUUACCACGC